Molecule: ribosomal RNA, 492 nt
Filed under: uncultured bacterium
Lineage: Bacteria
Description: partial 16S ribosomal RNA
Rfam family: Bacterial small subunit ribosomal RNA
Source: RNAcentral
AGUGAACGCUGGCGGUAGGCCUAACUCAUGCCAGUCGAACGGCAGCACAGUAAGAGCUUGCUCUUACGGGUGGCGAGUGGCGGACGGGCGAGGAAUACAUCGGAAUCUACUUUUUCGUGGGGGAUAACGUAGGGAAACUUACGCUAAUACCGCAUACGACCUACGGGUGAAAGCAGGGGAUCUUCGGACCUUGCGCGAUUGAAUGAGCCGAUGUCGGAUUAGCUAGUUGGCGGGGUAAAGGCCCACCAAGGCGACGAUCCGUAGCUGGUCUGAGAGGAUGAUCAGCCACACUGGAACUGAGACACGGUCCAGACUCCUACGGGAGGCAGCAGUGGGGAAUAUUGGACAAUGGGCGCAAGCCUGAUCCAGCCAUACCGCGUGGGUGAAGAAGGCCUUCGGGUUGUAAAGCCCUUUUGUUGGGAAAGAAAAGCAGCAGGUUAAUACCCCGCUGUUCUGACGGUACCCAAAGAAUAAGCACCGGCUAACUUCGUG